Molecule: ribosomal RNA, 374 nt
Filed under: uncultured organism
Description: partial 16S ribosomal RNA
Rfam family: Bacterial small subunit ribosomal RNA
Source: RNAcentral
GUAGGUGGCAAGCGUUGUCCGGAAUUAUUGGGCGUAAAGCGCGCGCAGGCGGUUCUUUAAGUCUGAUGUGAAAGCCCACGGCUCAACCGUGGAGGGUCAUUGGAAACUGGAGAACUUGAGUACAGAAGAGGAAAGCGGAAUUCCACGUGUAGCGGUGAAAUGCGUAGAGAUGUGGAGGAACACCAGCGGCGAAGGCGGCUUUCUGGUCUGUAACUGACGCUGAGGCGCGAAAGCGUGGGGAGCAAACAGGGAUUAGAUACCCUGGUAGUCCACGCCGUAAACGAUGAGUGCUAAGUGUUAGGGGGGUUUCCGCCCCCUUAGUGCUGCAGCUAACGCAUUAAGCACUCCGCCUGGGGAGUACGGCCGCAAGGCUG